Molecule: ribosomal RNA, 252 nt
Filed under: uncultured bacterium
Lineage: Bacteria
Description: partial 16S ribosomal RNA
Rfam family: Bacterial small subunit ribosomal RNA
Source: RNAcentral
UACGUAGGGGGCAAGCGUUGUCCGGAUUUAUUGGGCGUAAAGAGCGUGUAGGCGGCCAAGCAGGUCAGCUGUGAAACUCGAGGCUCAACCUCGAGACGUCGGUUGAAACCGUUUGGCUAGAGUCCGGAAGAGGAGAGUGGAAUUCCCGGUGUAGCGGUGAAAUGCGCAGAUAUCGGGAAGAACACCCGUGGCGAAGGCGGCUCUCUGGGACGGUACUGACGCUGAGACGCGAAAGCGUGGGGAGCGAACAGG